AACGAACGCUGGCGGCAGGCUUAACACAUGCAAGUCGAACGGUUGUAGCAAUACAUCAGUGGCAGACGGGUGAGUAACACGUGGGAACCUUCCUAGGGGUACGGAACAACUCAGGGAAACUUGAGCUAAUACCGUAUACGUCCGUGAGGAGAAAGAUUUAUCGCCCUUAGACGGGCCCGCGUCGGAUUAGCUAGUUGGUGGGGUAACGGCCUACCAAGGCGACGAUCCGUAGCUGAUCUUAGAGGAUGAUCAGCCACACUGGGACUGAGACACGGCCCAGACUCCUACGGGAGGCAGCAGUGGGGAAUAUUGGACAAUGGGCGAAAGCCUGAUCCAGCAAUGCCGCGUGAGCGAUGAAGGCCUUAGGGUUGUAAAGCUCUUUUACCCGAGAUGAUAAUGACAGUAUCGGGAGAAUAAGCCCCGGCUAACUCCGUGCCAGCCGCCGCCGUAA
This 451-nucleotide ribosomal RNA is filed under the name uncultured bacterium. RNAcentral's name for it is "partial 16S ribosomal RNA". It matches the Rfam family "Bacterial small subunit ribosomal RNA", at positions 29 to 523 of the family's 1533-position model. The record is from RNAcentral.